RNAcentral lists this long non-coding RNA (203 nucleotides) under Gallus gallus (chicken). The record is from RNAcentral. Lineage: Eukaryota; Metazoa; Chordata; Aves; Galliformes; Phasianidae.
GUUCACAUCGAUCUUGAUGAGGGCUCUGGCCUGCGCGAGUCGCAGCCCUCCUUGUUUGUUGCACUCGUUCACUAAGGCAGCUUUGUAUUCUAAAUAGGCUCCGGGGACCAACCUCACCAUCUGACAGAGCUCUUUCUCCUUCUCGUUCAGUUUCUCCGUCCCUGGCAGCCCGGUGAGGUUCAGUGGCGGGGCACUCCGUCUGC